RNAcentral lists this ribosomal RNA (488 nucleotides) under uncultured bacterium. RNAcentral's name for it is "partial 16S ribosomal RNA". It matches the Rfam family "Bacterial small subunit ribosomal RNA", at positions 355 to 830 of the family's 1533-position model. The record is from RNAcentral.
UAGGGAAUCUUCCACAAUGGACGCAAGUCUGAUGGAGCAACGCCGCGUGAGUGAAGAAGGCUUUCGGGUCGUAAAACUCUGUUAUUGAAGAAGAACGUGUGUGACAGUAACUGGUCAUGCAGUGACGGUAUUCAAUCAGAAAGUCACGGCUAACUACGUGCCAGCAGCCGCGGUAAUACGUAGGUGGCAAGCGUUGUCCGGAUUUAUUGGGCGUAAAGCGAGUGCAGGCGGUCUUUUAAGUCUGAUGUGAAAGCCUUCGGCUUAACCGAAGAAGGGCAUCGGAAACUGGGAGACUUGAGUGCAGAAGAGGAGAGUGGAACUCCAUGUGUAGCGGUGAAAAUGCGUAGAUAUAUGGAAGAACACCAGUGGCGAGGGCGGCUCUCUGGUCUGUAACUGACGCUGAGGCUCGAAAAGCGUGGGGUAGCAAAACAGGAUUAGAUACCCUGGUAGUCCACGCCGUAAAACGAUGAAUACUAAGUGUUGGAGGG